GUCAAAGAUUGUGACUUACUUCAUGCUUAAGUUGUUGAUAGGUCAAAGUUUGUGGCUUACUUUCCAACAUAUGAUAGUUGUAAAGAUUGCAUUUACAACUCAUCUAUAGCUAAGUUUCUUAAGCUUUAAGAAGCUAGUUGUAACCUCCUCUAUCUAGUAUAAAUAGAGGUCUUGAGUUAUAGAGUUGGUAUCCCAUGUUGUGGUGAGUGAAAACAAAGAGAGAGAGGGAGUGGAGUUUAGAGAGAAAAUGGAGAUUUCUCCUAAAACUCAAGUGCCUUUCCUUUGUUAGUGUGUAUUUCUUCCUGUUAUAAGAGAGAGGGUAUUCUCAAUUGUUGCUCUCCUUAUUGCAGAAGAGAAAUUGUUGUAUCCUUUUGCUAUAGUGAAAUCCUUCUACAAUUUGCCUAUCAUCUUGUGCUUCACUCAUUUUCAUAGUUUCUACUUCAGUUGUAAUUGGGUGCCCCAUAUCACAACGCUUCCUAACACUCUAUUCCAACGGGAUGCUUUGCCACAUUUAAAUAGCUACGUUUUGCUACUCGUGCUGAAAUCUCAUCAGUAAUCUGACUAAUGAACUUAGCUUCAUGCCUGCCAAUUUAAAUGCAAAAAAUAUUUAUUAGACACAACUGUGUAUGGGAGAUCAGUAUAUAGAUGUGGGUCUGGCCUAGAUGUGGGUCUGGCUUUUACAUCGGAGGGAUCCACCUUGUAAAACACUGGCCAAACCAAUUGUUGCUUCAACUCCUUACAUUGAAGGAUUUUAAUUAGUUCAUCCAAACACCACCUUGAGGAUGCGUAGUUUUCAGAGAAUAUGACGAUAGAAAUCUUUGACCCUUCAAUUGCUUCGAGAAGUGCAGAUGAUGUUUCUUCUCCUUUUCUAAGCUCUUCGUCGUCUACGAAAGUAUUAAUUCCGUUCUGAACCAAAGAAGCAUGCAAAUGGCCUGUGAAGGUGUUUCGUGUAUCCACACCUGUAAAACUCAAAAACACAUCGUAUGGACGUGAACGGGUGAGAGGAGAAGAGGAAGGAGUAAUUGAAUAUGUAUUGAUAGCCAUAGGCAGAAGCUUCUUGGGAUCGAAGACGUCGCACUGCUUCAGCUCCUCCACCGGCGGAGCCAGAGGCUGCAUCUCCUCCAAGCUCCUGGGCCGCUGGUGGGUAUCGAACGGCCCAAAAAGCCCAGAAAGCAUAUGGUAAGCAGCCACGAGCAGAGCCAAGAGUGUGAAGAAGGUCGCCGGAGAUAGGCCCGUGUAGGCCACGAUUGCUUCCUUCAGUGUUUCCCAGAUUUGCAGAGCCAUUUUGAAAGAGAGAACUUUCUUUGACACGGAUUCGAAUAUUCAAAUAGCUAUGUUUUUGGUAAUGAUCUUUUUAGUGGUCAUCAGUUUGAAUCCGACCGAAGGAUUUUACUACCAUAAACUUGACCACCUUGCAGGACUAUCGAUGGCUGAGCAGCCGAUCAGUUUGAGAGAUAAUGUGGGAUUGCCUUUUUCUAUAAACAUCCAUAAGAAGACUUUGUGAAGGCAUAUUCCAAUGGGUGAUUUUGAUCUGUCGCGAAACUUGUGUGAAAACAGUUUCCUGAAAGCUUCAAUGCAAAAGUCUAUCAAAGAAAAGGACAACUGACCAAUAGAUCAAAUUUCCCGGCAGCUUCAUUAUAUAGAAAUUUCAAGGGUGAUUGACGAAGCUUGGAGCGUUGUGUGGUGCAUAAUUGAACCAUGUUGGCCUAGUAAGAGGCUUCAGUGCAACUUCAAUUCGAGAGUGACUGACCAAAGAAAAACAAUGACGACCGACUUAAAAGACACGAUUGUCAAUAUGUGAUGCGAUACGGUACUGAUGAAAGUUUUUGACGAAGUGGUCAUCAUAACCUACCAUCUUUCAGGACUGUUAGGGAGAGAAGGUUCGAUAUUUAAGUGUUUGUCUUUGUUCUAGGAUACUCAUUUGUUGCCUGCCAAUGAAAACUAUUUGUGAAGGCUUAUUAAUAUCAAGAAUUUCGAUCACUGGUGUUUUUGAUCAUGAGAUCCUGGACCAGAUAAAACCCCAAUUAGGAUCUUGCCUUCAGCCCUAGAGAUAUGCCCCCAAAUGUCAAGGAUGAAGAAAGUCAUGCUUAUAUUUAACUUUUUACUUAAGUUGGUGAUCUCUGAUGAAUAUUCCGAGAGAACAGAAAGAUCAAUAAACCAAAUAACAAGUCGUGCCAUUCAUUCUCCUGAAAAUUAUCAACCUGUUCAUUACAUGAAACAGGGAGGAAGAGUGGGGGAAAAAUAACAUAUAAUAAGCUCAGCUCGAGAAGCCAUGAAAACAAUCACGAUGACGCAACUAAACGACGAGAAGAAGAUUAAUCAACUUCCAUUUAAAACAAUAAUGUAUUCGACAACAGUUUGAGAAACUUAUUCAAAACCCAGACAAAGCUCAUCAUCUUAAGUUCAAGGGCCAAACGGAAAGUAGAGAGAAUGAUUAACAAACUUUGAAUGAGUCCACAAAAUCAUGUUUGAAACUCUGAAGAUCUAUUCUUCGGCAA
Molecule: long non-coding RNA, 2498 nt
Organism: Rosa chinensis
Lineage: Eukaryota; Viridiplantae; Streptophyta; Magnoliopsida; Rosales; Rosaceae
Exons: 2
Source: RefSeq, a predicted model, not a curated record